Molecule: ribosomal RNA, 578 nt
Filed under: uncultured bacterium
Lineage: Bacteria
Description: partial 16S ribosomal RNA
Rfam family: Bacterial small subunit ribosomal RNA
Source: RNAcentral
UGGGGAAUUUUGGACAAUGGGCGAAAGCCUGAUCCAGCAAUGCCGCGUGUGUGAAGAAGGCCUUCGGGUUGUAAAGCACUUUUGUCCGGAAAGAAAUCCUUGGCUCUAAUACAGUCGGGGGAUGACGGUACCGGAAGAAUAAGCACCGGCUAACUACGUGCCAGCAGCCGCGGUAAUACGUAGGGUGCAAGCGUUAAUCGGAAUACUGGGCGUAAAGCGUGCGCAGGCGGUUUGCUAAGACCGAUGUGAAAUCCCCGGGCUCAACCUGGGAACUGCAUUGGUGACUGGCAGGCUAGAGUAUGGCAGAGGGGGGUAGAAUUCCACGUGUAGCAGUGAAAUGCGUAGAGAUGUGGAGGAAUACCGAUGGCGAAGGCAGCCCCCUGGGCCAAUACUGACGCUCAUGCACGAAAGCGUGGGGAGCAAACAGGAUUAGAUACCCUGGUAGUCCACGCCCUAAACGAUGUCAACUAGUUGUUGGGGAUUCAUUUCCUUAGUAACGUAGCUAACGCGUGAAGUUGACCGCCUGGGGAGUACGGUCGCAAGAUUAAAACUCAAAUGAAUUGACGGGGUCAUAGCUG